GGGCCGGUGGCUCAGCCCGGUAGAGCGACAGGCUCUUAACUUGUUGGCCGCGGGUUCGAAUCCCGCCCGGCCCGCCA
This 77-nucleotide transfer RNA is filed under the name Candidatus Thorarchaeota archaeon. Its description in RNAcentral is "tRNA-Lys". It matches the Rfam family "tRNA". Rfam says of the family: Transfer RNA (tRNA) molecules are approximately 80 nucleotides in length. Lineage: Archaea; Promethearchaeati; Candidatus Thorarchaeota. RNAcentral also lists the same sequence under 1 other name. The record is from RNAcentral.